GCAAUGGAGAACAUUUACAGAGGACUGUGGGUAAAGCAAAGUCUUCAAGGGAAGAUAACAAAGGAUGAAACAAUGGUGUUGUGUGACUUCCUAGUGUGAAUCAUGGCAAUACAGUGAAAGACAGUGAUUUACUGCUUUUGAGGGCGUGCAUGUAUAUGAUUAACGGAUGGAAGUGCAGGACUCCAAGAUUUACUUCCUUCCCUUUCCAGCAGAAUUACCUGAGACGAGUAAAAUCUACUGGUGGAGUCACUCCAUUAUUCUUAUCUGUGGAGAUCUAGAUCUUGAUUUGAAAGUUUCUGAGAAAAUCUUCAGCUCAGACUUGAGGGUCAACUUUACCAGCUGAAGGAUCUGCAUUUACUGCUCAACCACAUCUAAUUUGAUGUCCUCUGCAGAUUUAAAAUGUGUGCCUUCUUUUCCGUCACCAAGUCAUCCCUGGGUUACUACUGAACAUCCUUCUCAAUUCCCCCCGACCCAUGGAUGGCUGUUCUCCAUUGUCUGUUUCACCAGAUGUCCUCAAAACAAACAGACAGAAGAAGGAAGUGGCUAAUGGUCACUUAAUACUCAAAGACUGCAAAUUCCUUUCCUACUGCUGAUGUGGAAGAAGCUUGGAAACAUGUUCCUUUCCAGGAGAUAAGUGAUACGGCAGAAAGACGGGUCAGAUGAGGCCAAGGGAUUGGAGCCAGAGUCUUACCAAACUCGCAGGCAGCUUGUGACUGCGGGCAUGCUGUGCUGAUGGAGGAGGGGAGGCCUGGGGGCUCCAUGCUGUCGGGAUUCCUCCCUUGAUAAACAGAGUCAAGGAGCUGUGGAGUCCAAGUGUGACUGCCAAGAGGAAUCCAGCAAAGCCAAAAAGCCCAAGCAUGUAGCCCUGCCCGAAGCACGCCACACGCAUGGAAAACCCAGAGGAAAUGAGUGAGGAUCAAUGGGAAGAAGAGAGCCAGCCAGGAAGUUGAAGAUUUGUCCAGGAGCAGAUAGCUGAAGAGAGAGAGAGAGAAGAGAGAACGGCUUACAGCUCAGGUCCUCUCUCCAUGCUUAGGAACCACUACAAAUGCUACUGCCUUGAGUCUCAUUUUGUUUCCCUCUGGAAACCACAUGUGUACCUUGUUUGCAACAGUAUGGUUCUGGAGACCAGAAGGCCAAAAUCAAAAGUAUGGGCAGGCUUGAUUUCUUUAGAAGACUCCAGCGGAGAACUGUGUCUCCUUGCUUCUGAUUCUACAUCUCCAUCCAUGGGCCACUGUUUCAGCAACCUCAGCCAGUGCAACACAACCUCAGCCAAGAAGAGUAUGCAGAGAAAGGAGUCCCCUACCUGCCACAAAACUGUUGUCUGAAAACUGUCUCAUAUUGUCUCAAGUUGUCAUUCAUUGUGAAUUAGACCUGUUUAACAUGUAAUCUGCAACAUG
RNAcentral lists this long non-coding RNA (1397 nucleotides) under Homo sapiens (human). Its description in RNAcentral is "cancer susceptibility 15". The record is from RNAcentral. Lineage: Eukaryota; Metazoa; Chordata; Mammalia; Primates; Hominidae.